This 1506-nucleotide ribosomal RNA is filed under the name uncultured Bacillus sp. RNAcentral describes it as "bacterial SSU rRNA". It matches the Rfam family "Bacterial small subunit ribosomal RNA". Lineage: Bacteria; Bacillati; Bacillota; Bacilli; Caryophanales; Bacillaceae. The record is from RNAcentral.
UCAGGACGAACGCUGGCGGCGUGCCUAAUACAUGCAAGUCGAGCGGACAGAAGGGAGCUUGCUCCCGGAUGUUAGCGGCGGACGGGUGAGUAACACGUGGGUAACCUGCCUGUAAGACUGGGAUAACUCCGGGAAACCGGAGCUAAUACCGGAUAGUUCCUUGAACCGCAUGGUUCAAGGAUGAAAGACGGUUUCGGCUGUCACUUACAGAUGGACCCGCGGCGCAUUAGCUAGUUGGUGGGGUAAUGGCUCACCAAGGCGACGAUGCGUAGCCGACCUGAGAGGGUGAUCGGCCACACUGGGACUGAGACACGGCCCAGACUCCUACGGGAGGCAGCAGUAGGGAAUCUUCCGCAAUGGACGAAAGUCUGACGGAGCAACGCCGCGUGAGUGAUGAAGGUUUUCGGAUCGUAAAGCUCUGUUGUUAGGGAAGAACAAGUGCGAGAGUAACUGCUCGCACCUUGACGGUACCUAACCAGAAAGCCACGGCUAACUACGUGCCAGCAGCCGCGGUAAUACGUAGGUGGCAAGCGUUGUCCGGAAUUAUUGGGCGUAAAGGGCUCGCAGGCGGUUUCUUAAGUCUGAUGUGAAAGCCCCCGGCUCAACCGGGGAGGGUCAUUGGAAACUGGGAAACUUGAGUGCAGAAGAGGAGAGUGGAAUUCCACGUGUAGCGGUGAAAUGCGUAGAGAUGUGGAGGAACACCAGUGGCGAAGGCGACUCUCUGGUCUGUAACUGACGCUGAGGAGCGAAAGCGUGGGGAGCGAACAGGAUUAGAUACCCUGGUAGUCCACGCCGUAAACGAUGAGUGCUAAGUGUUAGGGGGUUUCCGCCCCUUAGUGCUGCAGCUAACGCAUUAAGCACUCCGCCUGGGGAGUACGGUCGCAAGACUGAAACUCAAAGGAAUUGACGGGGGCCCGCACAAGCGGUGGAGCAUGUGGUUUAAUUCGAAGCAACGCGAAGAACCUUACCAGGUCUUGACAUCCUCUGACAACCCUAGAGAUAGGGCUUUCCCUUCGGGGACAGAGUGACAGGUGGUGCAUGGUUGUCGUCAGCUCGUGUCGUGAGAUGUUGGGUUAAGUCCCGCAACGAGCGCAACCCUUGAUCUUAGUUGCCAGCAUUUAGUUGGGCACUCUAAGGUGACUGCCGGUGACAAACCGGAGGAAGGUGGGGAUGACGUCAAAUCAUCAUGCCCCUUAUGACCUGGGCUACACACGUGCUACAAUGGACAGAACAAAGGGCUGCGAGACCGCAAGGUUUAGCCAAUCCCAUAAAUCUGUUCUCAGUUCGGAUCGCAGUCUGCAACUCGACUGCGUGAAGCUGGAAUCGCUAGUAAUCGCGGAUCAGCAUGCCGCGGGUGAAUACGUUCCCGGGCCUUGUACACACCGCCCGUCACACCACGAGAGUUUGCAACACCCGAAGUCGGUGAGGUAACCUUUAUGGAGCCAGCCGCCGAAGGUGGGGCAGAUGAUUGGGGGUGAAGUCGUAACAAGGUAGCCGUAUCGGAAG